This is a long non-coding RNA of Balaenoptera ricei (Rice's whale), 811 nucleotides long. RefSeq lists it as uncharacterized. NCBI's taxonomy places the organism in Eukaryota, Metazoa, Chordata, Mammalia, Artiodactyla, Balaenopteridae. The transcript has 3 exons. The record is from RefSeq and is a predicted model, not a curated record.
UCCGAGUGGGUUCUGAGGCCAGGCCGUCAGGGACGUGUCCGCCUCUCUCCUCGGGUGCACUGUGGUCCUGCGCGCCCUAGGCCCCCGCGAGGCUGGGGGUCAGAGGCGUGAGGAGGGGCAGGCUUCUGACCUUCCCCCCCACCCCCGGCUGGACUGAGUCCUUGGGAAACAGCGACUUCACAGACGCUCUCAGGAGCUCACCACACGCUUGGCCAGGGUGGAAGGAAAGCUCUCCUGUGCCAGGUCUGGGCGCCUCCCGGGUCAAGUUCUCAGCUGACGUGGGGCCACCGUUGCCCUCCGGGCGCUGUGAUCUAGUGGGGACGUGCAGACCCAGAGGACGUGGCUUGAGAAUGCUCGGACGGCAGCACGUGGAGGACAGCAGCAUAGAGGCCGGGCGCCCGGCGUCCACCGGGAAAGGACCUCUCGAUCGGGGGCGGCGGUACCUGCCUGCAGGGUUAUCGUGAGCGUGAAAGAGAGAAUUCCGUGAGGAGCUCAGCGCAGGGCUCAGUACACAGCACGCUUUCAUCAUCACUGCUAGCGGUACAGGUUGGGAACAAGGUGGAAGGAUUGGUGACAGCCCCUGUUGGUGAGGUGCUGAGGCAGUGGGACCCGGCACCCACCCUCCAUGGAGCGAUUUGGUGGUUUGCACUAACGCUGGAACCGCAGACAGGUUUUGGCUCUUUCUUCUGCUAGAAAUGAACCCCGCGGAGGUAAUGGGACCAGUGCACAGUGAUGAAUGUGUAAGGAUAUUUAUCCUGCCAUUGUUUGUAUGAGCAACAAUUCAGAAGCAACUAUAAAUGGAUCAAAGUAA